RNAcentral lists this ribosomal RNA (449 nucleotides) under uncultured bacterium. RNAcentral describes it as "partial 16S ribosomal RNA". It matches the Rfam family "Bacterial small subunit ribosomal RNA", at positions 29 to 523 of the family's 1533-position model. The record is from RNAcentral.
AACGAACGCUGGCGGCAUGCCUAACACAUGCAAGUCGAACGAUCCCUUCGGGGAUAGUGGCGCACGGGUGCGUAACGCGUGGGAAUCUGCCCUUGGCUUCGGAAUAACAGUUAGAAAUGACUGCUAAUACCGGAUGAUGUCUUCGGACCAAAGAUUUAUCGGCCAGGGAUGAGCCCGCGUAGGAUUAGGUAGUUGGUGGGGUAAAGGCCUACCAAGCCGACGAUCCUUAGCUGGUCUGAGAGGAUGAUCAGCCACACUGGGACUGAGACACGGCCCAGACUCCUACGGGAGGCAGCAGUGGGGAGUAUUGGACAAUGGGCGCAAGCCUGAUCCAGCAAUGCCGCGUGAGUGAUGAAGGCCUUAGGGUCGUAAGGCUCUUUUACCCGGGAUGAUAAUGACAGUACCGGGAGAAUAAGCUCCGGCUAACUCCGUGCCAGCAGCCGCAGUAA